RNAcentral lists this long non-coding RNA (449 nucleotides) under Nicotiana benthamiana. Its description in RNAcentral is "long non-coding RNA (NBEN_LNC020960)". The record is from RNAcentral. Lineage: Eukaryota; Viridiplantae; Streptophyta; Magnoliopsida; Solanales; Solanaceae.
AAUUACCAGCCAGCAUCGUCAUUUUUCUAUCUUUUUGAGAAUCAAUAACAGUUGCCUGUAAAUUCUUUUCCAUCGGUGGAGAUGUACAGAAUCCAGUAAAAGUCAAUGUAUUCUUCUGAAAAUGCAUUUCAGUUGAUAAGGUUGACAUCUCUGUACUUCACUUUGGAGCAAUGUAUAAAUCUGCCGAUGUUGGCACAAAUUGGUGAAUCCAACUGUUAAUUUGUAAUCUUCCUGAAGCCCUCUUCCUUUUUAUGUGAAUCAAUUUAACCCCCUAAUCUCCUGUAUGAAUCAUUGGUUUCCUCGUUGUAUCUGGCUCUCUGGUACUUUUUUGAAUAUCAGUGAAGGUUGUAAAUGAUCCAAAUGUCUAACUCUCCUACCUUGAAGUUUUUCUAGACAUAUGUUGAUGACGUGCUUUGCUUAUUAAUAUUAUCAACGACCAGGGUCUAAAG